Molecule: ribosomal RNA, 437 nt
Filed under: [Eubacterium] yurii
Lineage: Bacteria; Bacillati; Bacillota; Clostridia; Peptostreptococcales; Filifactoraceae
Description: bacterial SSU rRNA
Rfam family: Bacterial small subunit ribosomal RNA
Source: RNAcentral
GAUGAACGCUGGCGGCGUGCCUAACACAUGCAAGUCGAACGAAGGUAUAUAUAGGAAGUCUUCGGAUGGAAUAUGUAUAACUUAGUGGCGGACGGGUGAGUAACGCGUAAGUAAUCAACCUGUGACACACGGAUAACUGAUAGAAAUGUCAGCUAAUACGAGAUGAACUGUUUAAAUUGGGAAAUGGAAACAGCAAAGCGAAAGCGGUCACAGACGAGCUUGCGUCUGAUUAGCUAGUUGGUGGGGUAAGAGCCUACCAAGGCGACGAUCAGUAGCCGGCCUGAGAGGGUGAACGGCCACAUUGGAACUGAGACACGGUCCAAACUCCUACGGGAGGCAGCAGUGGGGGAUAUUGCACAAUGGGGGGAACCCUGAUGCAGCAACGCCGCGUGAGUGAAGAAGGCCCUAGGGUCGUAAAGCUCUGUCGUAUGGGAAAG